Zalophus californianus (California sea lion) is the source of this 488-nucleotide long non-coding RNA. RefSeq lists it as uncharacterized. Lineage: Eukaryota; Metazoa; Chordata; Mammalia; Carnivora; Otariidae. The transcript has 4 exons. The record is from RefSeq and is a predicted model, not a curated record.
CCGAGCCCCGCGCCGCGGUCCCCCGCCGUACCACCAGCAAGGAGAACAUGGUCUGCCCCACGUUGAAGCCGUGCCGCCAGUUGUGGGAAUGUGGAUUUCUCUGACAGCACACGGUAGUGCAGAAGUGGGAGCAAAGAGAGCGGACGUUGAGGCUGAGUCAGAGUUGCUUCGAAAAGGCCACCUGGAACUGAAAAUAUUAGGAAAGAUAAGGCCCAACCGUUGACCAAAGGAAGCUGAUAUUCUGCUGAGAGGAAUUAAUCUGAAAGCAAAGAAAGAAGAUACAGACCCAGCUCUUCCAUGAAUUGGAGAGAAAGCUCCGUGAGAACACGUCAACUAGACCAACACGAAAAGCUGUGUUUAAAAAUAAGUGUCCCUGGGUUGCUUUCUGACAGUAGCACGUGAUGCAGUGCUUGAAGACUCGGUCUUCCCAAAUGAAAUCAUGGAAUUGUGGGGGUGGAACAGUAGUUUGAAGCGGAACAAGAGCAGGU